This 835-nucleotide long non-coding RNA is filed under the name Chinchilla lanigera (long-tailed chinchilla). RNAcentral's name for it is "lncRNA (ENSCLAG00000028405.1)". Lineage: Eukaryota; Metazoa; Chordata; Mammalia; Rodentia; Chinchillidae. The record is from RNAcentral.
UCCAAUCAUCCAGUCAAUAACAAUGGUACCCAGUGUGUUCUGCAUUUCAGUUUACAAAGUCCUGUCACAUGCCUUUGCUUCCUUUCAUUUCAUCUCAUGAUACUCCUGGGAGUUAUUUCCUCCAAUAUUUCAUGGGUGAGAAAACAGCCUGGCACCCCCUAAAGGGGAAGUGAGGAGACUUUUUAGGUCACCUAGGAAGCUGCACAAGCCGACUGUGACUCCAAAUCGUGUUCUCCCCAUUAUCUACCAAGGCUCCCUUCAGGGAGGACUCACAGCAAAGGAAGCCCCGCCCCCGCCAGUAUAAUUAACUGCAUGCAGGUCUGUUUAAAUCUGGGUGUGCAGGUUUGAAGGUAGGAAGAUGGCUGCAUCACCAGGACAACACCCUGCUCUAGGGCUUGGGCUCCUAUAUACGCUGGUACAGGAGUUUUGACCUAAGAGAUGACUCAGGCUCCAAGUCUUCCAAGCAAAGCAUUACUUCAAUUUUUGAGAGAAAUGCCUCCUGAGCUCCCACAAUCCUCAGGGAGGCACAAGGAGACUCUGAGGUCCCAGACUCUGAGCUCCCUGGGGAUAGAACUCAAUGUGACUGCCCGGUGUCUGCUGCUUAGUCAAGGUUCCAUCUCAGCAAUAUUUGUUCCAUGAACAAAUGAAAAAGCAAACAGAGAGCUAGAGAACAUUCACUUCAGAAAGUUGGAAAGGGCCUUUGAAAUGCUUUGUUCUCAUCCCUUCACAUCAGAGUUGGUGGGAUGGAUGGAGAUCCAAAGAAGGUAGAUAACUCAGCCAAAGCCUCAGUCUACUCAGAUUCUUAUUGUCUUUUCUAUCCUCCAUCUUAUUUUUU